UACGUAGGGUGCGAGCGUUGUCCGGAAUUAUUGGGCGUAAAGAGCUCGUAGGCGGUCUGUCGCGUCGGAUGUGAAAGCCCGGGGCUUAACCCCGGGUCUGCAUUCGAUACGGGCAGACUAGAGUGUGGUAGGGGAGAUCGGAAUUCCUGGUGUAGCGGUGAAAUGCGCAGAUAUCAGGAGGAACACCGGUGGCGAAGGCGGAUCUCUGGGCCAUUACUGACGCUGAGGAGCGAAAGCGUGGGGAGUGAACAGG
RNAcentral lists this ribosomal RNA (253 nucleotides) under uncultured prokaryote. RNAcentral's name for it is "partial 16S ribosomal RNA". It matches the Rfam family "Bacterial small subunit ribosomal RNA", at positions 524 to 776 of the family's 1533-position model. The record is from RNAcentral.